UACGGGGGGAGCAAGCGUUGUUCGGAUUUACUGGGCGUAAAGGGCGCGUAGGCGGCCACCGCAAGUCGACUGUGAAAUCUCCGGGCUUAACCCGGAAAGGUCAGCCGAUACUGCGGGGCUAGAGUGCAGAAGGGGCAACUGGAAUUCUCGGUGUAGCGGUGAAAUGCGUAGAUAUCUGGAGGAACACCGGUGGCGAAGGCGGCAUCCUGGACCAACACUGACACUGAGGAGCGAAAGCCAGGGGAGCAAACGGG
Molecule: ribosomal RNA, 254 nt
Filed under: uncultured bacterium
Lineage: Bacteria
Description: partial 16S ribosomal RNA
Rfam family: Bacterial small subunit ribosomal RNA
Source: RNAcentral